RNAcentral lists this ribosomal RNA (133 nucleotides) under Azospirillum melinis. Its description in RNAcentral is "partial 16S ribosomal RNA". It matches the Rfam family "Bacterial small subunit ribosomal RNA", at positions 1 to 132 of the family's 1533-position model. The record is from RNAcentral. Lineage: Bacteria; Pseudomonadati; Pseudomonadota; Alphaproteobacteria; Rhodospirillales; Azospirillaceae.
UCGGCUGCGAUCUGAACCUGAGAGUUUGAUCCUGGCUCAGAACGAACGCUGGCGGCAUGCCUAACACAUGCAAGUCGAACGAAGGCUUCGGCCUUAGUGGCGCACGGGUGAGUAACACGUGGGAACCUGCCUU